GACGAACGCUGGCGGCGUGCUUAACACAUGCAAGUCGAACGCUGAAGCUCAGCUUUUGUUGGGUGGAUGAGUGGCGAACGGGUGAGUAACACGUGAGUAACCUGCCCCCUUCUUUGGGAUAACGCCCGGAAACGGGUGCUAAUACUGGAUAUUCACUGGUCUUCGCAUGGGGGUUGGUGGAAAGGGUUUUUCUGGUGGGGGAUGGGCUCGCGGCCUAUCAGCUUGUUGGUGGGGUGAUGGCCUACCAAGGCUUUGACGGGUAGCCGGCCUGAGAGGGUGACCGGUCACAUUGGGACUGAGAUACGGCCAAGACUCCUACGGGAGGCAGCAGUGGGGAAUAUUGCACAAUGGGCGCAAGCCUGAUGCAGCGACGCCGCGUGAGGGAUGGAGGCCUUCGGGUUGUGAACCUCUUUCGCUCAUGGUCAAGCCGCAACAAUGGUUGUGGUGAGGGUAGUGGGUAAAGAAGCGCCGGCUAACUACGUG
Molecule: ribosomal RNA, 483 nt
Filed under: uncultured bacterium
Lineage: Bacteria
Description: partial 16S ribosomal RNA
Rfam family: Bacterial small subunit ribosomal RNA
Source: RNAcentral